GGGAUGGGGUGCUCUUAUUGGCUAACUAGGAGAUGGGCGGGGUCCUGAGGAGAAGAUCCGUAAGAGCUAUCACCUUAGGGGCGAAUGGAAGUGGAUGGUGUCCAAGCAACAGAUGCCCGCUUCUGUGACUCCAUCCCUCACAGAAAGUCUAUGGGACUCUCUGCCUUGUAUGAGUGAUACUGUUAGAAAGAGGCAAGAAAAUUAAAAGAAAAUGUGGAUGUUUUCCAUAUUUGAGUUGAUGCGGGCUGGAGACAACAGCUGCCAGAGCUGCAAGGCAGAACGCCCUGAGAAGUGGAACCGGAGGAUCCAGGCACCUGUUGAAGGGAUGAAUGAGAGCCGUGGUGUGAGGAUGGGACUCUUUCUGUCUUCCAUUUGGCUGAAGCUCCAAACGCCAGGAGUAACCCAAUGGGUAGCAAGCACCCUUCCCUCCACCUCUGCAGGAACUGCAAAAAGCAAUGGUUCUCUGCAGCCCUGGUUUCACCUCCUGCCUGGCCAGUCCUGGGAGGCAGGGCAUGUGGGAAGUGGCCGUGAACACUUUGGCUUAGGGGCCCAAGCAGGAAGUGGAGCCACAUCUUUUUCUGAUCCUUCUCUUUGGGAUCAAAGGUAAGGUUUGUCAAGGGCAGGGGAGCACUGGUGCCAGGUGAAUGUGGAGGUAGUACUGGCAGCCCUCCAGCCCUGCUCACAAUCCAGGACCAGGGUACAGAAGCUGAUCCUUAAUGUGUGCUCUUGGGGGUGGAUACGUAACCAAAACCUGGUCAAGCAAGGUCACCUUGAUGGGCUCAGAGAUGGCAUUUGACUCAAUAUGGGGUAAUGUAAGUCAGCAUCUGGGAGUCUCUUUCCUUUAGGGCUGCUAAGCCAGGAGGAUGUCAGCCUGAAGCUGCUGGGAGAUAUCUUUGUCACUUGUGGAAAGGGCCCACCUUUAAAGAAGGUGCCACAGCAAAAAGCAGAGGCAGUGCUUGGAAAGGGGCAGAUUCCUGGUGAUAUUGCUUGAACCGCUAGAUCCAGCCAUGCCUGAAGCCUGUGACUGGACUCUGUGUCAGUCAACAAAUUUCCCUUUUACUUAUAAUACUCACAUUGGAUUUUGUUACUUAUAAUUUUGAAAAGUGGCAUCAACUGGGAAGGCUCUGUAAAUCACAAAGGGAACAGAAGAGCAUUCCAGAUGAAGGCUACUAUCUGAGCAAAUCCACCCCCAGCUUAAACUCUCUGAGGCUACAAUGGAGGUACCAGAUCUCCUGUAUACACAGGCCAAAUCCCUCCAUUUCCUGCUGA
Molecule: long non-coding RNA, 1269 nt
Filed under: Macaca mulatta (Rhesus monkey)
Lineage: Eukaryota; Metazoa; Chordata; Mammalia; Primates; Cercopithecidae
Description: lncRNA (ENSMMUG00000065008.1)
Source: RNAcentral